UACGAAGGGGGCUAGCGUUGUUCGGAAUUACUGGGCGUAAAGCGCACGUAGGCGGGUUGUUAAGUCAGGGGUGAAAUCCUGGAGCUCAACUCCAGAACUGCCUUUGAUACUGGCAACCUAGAGACUGGAAGAGGUUAGUGGAAUUCCCAGUGUAGAGGUGAAAUGCGUAGAUAUCAGGAGGAACACCGGUGGCGAAGGCGGCCCUCUGGACGGAUACUGACGCUGAGGCGCGAAAGCGUGGGGAUCAAACAGG
This 253-nucleotide ribosomal RNA is filed under the name uncultured bacterium. RNAcentral describes it as "partial 16S ribosomal RNA". It matches the Rfam family "Bacterial small subunit ribosomal RNA", at positions 524 to 776 of the family's 1533-position model. The record is from RNAcentral.